Molecule: ribosomal RNA, 1208 nt
Filed under: Enterococcus sp.
Lineage: Bacteria; Bacillati; Bacillota; Bacilli; Lactobacillales; Enterococcaceae
Description: bacterial SSU rRNA
Rfam family: Bacterial small subunit ribosomal RNA
Source: RNAcentral
CCGUAUAACACUAUUUUCCGCAUGGAAGAAAGUUGAAAGGCGCUUUUGCGUCACUGAUGGAUGGACCCGCGGUGCAUUAGCUAGUUGGUGAGGUAACGGCUCACCAAGGCAACGAUGCAUAGCCGACCUGAGAGGGUGAUCGGCCACACUGGGACUGAGACACGGCCCAGACUCCUACGGGAGGCAGCAGUAGGGAAUCUUCGGCAAUGGACGAAAGUCUGACCGAGCAACGCCGCGUGAGUGAAGAAGGUUUUCGGAUCGUAAAACUCUGUUGUUAGAGAAGAACAAGGAUGAGAGUAAAACGUUCAUCCCUUGACGGUAUCUAACCAGAAAGCCACGGCUAACUACGUGCCAGCAGCCGCGGUAAUACGUAGGUGGCAAGCGUUGUCCGGAUUUAUUGGGCGUAAAGCGAGCGCAGGCGGUUUCUUAAGUCUGAUGUGAAAGCCCCCGGCUCAACCGGGGAGGGUCAUUGGAAACUGGGAGACUUGAGUGCAGAAGAGGAGAGUGGAAUUCCAUGUGUAGCGGUGAAAUGCGUAGAUAUAUGGAGGAACACCAGUGGCGAAGGCGGCUCUCUGGUCUGUAACUGACGCUGAGGCUCGAAAGCGUGGGGAGCGAACAGGAUUAGAUACCCUGGUAGUCCACGCCGUAAACGAUGAGUGCUAAGUGUUGGAGGGUUUCCGCCCUUCAGUGCUGCAGCAAACGCAUUAAGCACUCCGCCUGGGGAGUACGACCGCAAGGUUGAAACUCAAAGGAAUUGACGGGGGGCCCGCACAAGCGGUGGAGCAUGUGGUUUAAUUCGAAGCAACGCGAAGAACCUUACCAGGUCUUGACAUCCUUUGACCACUCUAGAGAUAGAGCUUCCCCUUCGGGGGGCAAAGUGACAGGUGGUGCAUGGUUGUCGUCAGCUCGUGUCGUGAGAUGUUGGGUUAAGUCCCGCAACGAGCGCAACCCUUAUUGUUAGUUGCCAUCAUUUAGUUGGGCACUCUAGCGAGACUGCCGGUGACAAACCGGAGGAAGGUGGGGAUGACGUCAAAUCAUCAUGCCCCUUAUGACCUGGGCUACACACGUGCUACAAUGGGAAGUACAACGAGUUGCGAAGUCGCGAGGCUAAGCUAAUCUCUUAAAGCUUCUCUCAGUUCGGAUUGUAGGCUGCAACUCGCCUACAUGAAGCCGGAAUCGCUAGUAAUCGCGGAUCAGCACGCCGCGGU